GACGUAGGGCGCGAGCGUUGUCCGGAUUUAUUGGGCGUAAAGAGCUCGUAGGCGGUCUGUCGCGUCUGCUGUGAAAACUCGGGGCUUAACCCCGGGCCUGCAGUGGGUACGGGCAGACUAGAGUGCGGUAGGGGAGACUGGAAUUCCAGGUGUAGCGGUGAAAUGCGUAGAUAUCUGGAGGAACACCGGUGGCGAAGGCGGCAUCCUGGACCGAUACUGACGCUGAGGAGCGAAAGCCAGGGGAGCAAACGGG
This 253-nucleotide ribosomal RNA is filed under the name uncultured bacterium. RNAcentral describes it as "partial 16S ribosomal RNA". It matches the Rfam family "Bacterial small subunit ribosomal RNA", at positions 524 to 776 of the family's 1533-position model. The record is from RNAcentral.